AGGAAAUUUAAUAAUAAAAACACAUAGUUCACGGAGUCUAGCUCAGUGAAAAAUAAUCUUAAUUUACAAAUCAAUGGUCUCAAGUUCGAAUCCUCACAGCACCUUAGUAAUAUGUGUGUGUGUGUGUGUGUGUGUGUGUGAAACCUCUCUCUCCUU
RNAcentral lists this small RNA (156 nucleotides) under Prunus dulcis (almond). Its description in RNAcentral is "sRNA ncRNA". Lineage: Eukaryota; Viridiplantae; Streptophyta; Magnoliopsida; Rosales; Rosaceae. The record is from RNAcentral.